CCAAUAGCGUAUAUUAAAGUUGUUGCAGUUAAAAAGCUCGUAGUUGAAUUUCGGGAUCAAUUAAUUGGUCGUGCCUCUGGUACGUACUGAUUUUAUUGGUUUCUCCCUUCUGACGAACCAUGAUGUCAUUAAUUUGGUGUCGUGGAGAAUCAGGACUGUUACUUUGAAAAAAUUAGAGUGUUUAAAGCAAGCUAACGCUUGAAUACAUUAGCAUGGAAUA
RNAcentral lists this ribosomal RNA (220 nucleotides) under uncultured Glomus. RNAcentral's name for it is "partial small subunit ribosomal RNA". It matches the Rfam family "Eukaryotic small subunit ribosomal RNA", at positions 591 to 816 of the family's 1831-position model. Lineage: Eukaryota; Fungi; Glomeromycota; Glomeromycetes; Glomerales; Glomeraceae. The record is from RNAcentral.